UAGCUUUCUGGACUUUUCGAGA
This 22-nucleotide microRNA is filed under the name Callorhinchus milii (elephant shark). RNAcentral's name for it is "eshark_NOVEL_17". The record is from RNAcentral. Lineage: Eukaryota; Metazoa; Chordata; Chondrichthyes; Chimaeriformes; Callorhinchidae.